UGGGGAAUAUUGCACAAUGGGCGCAAGCCUGAUGCAGCCAUGCCGCGUGUGUGAAGAAGGCCUUCGGGUUGUAAAGCACUUUCAGCGGGGAGGAAGGCGGUGAGGUCAAUAACAUCACCGAUUGACGUUACCCGAAGAAGAAGCAUCGGCUAACUCCGUGCCAGCAGCCGCGGUAAUACGGAGGGUGCAAGCGUUAAUCGGAAUUACUGGGCGUAAAGCGCACGCAGGCGGUCUGUCAAGUCGGAUGUGAAAUCCCCGGGCUCAACCUGGGAGCUGCUUUCGAAACUGGCAGGCUAGAGUCUUGUAGAGGGGGGUAGAAUUCCAGGUGUAGCGGUGAAAUGCGUAGAGAUCUGGAGGAAUACCGGUAGCGAAGGCGGCCCCCUGGACAAAGACUGACGCUCAGGUGCGAAAGCGUGGGGAGCAAACAAG
Molecule: ribosomal RNA, 429 nt
Filed under: Chloroflexota bacterium
Lineage: Bacteria; Bacillati; Chloroflexota
Description: Chloroflexi bacterium partial 16S ribosomal RNA
Rfam family: Bacterial small subunit ribosomal RNA
Source: RNAcentral